This is a long non-coding RNA of Siniperca chuatsi (mandarin fish), 846 nucleotides long. RefSeq lists it as uncharacterized. The record is from RefSeq and is a predicted model, not a curated record. The transcript has 2 exons. Lineage: Eukaryota; Metazoa; Chordata; Actinopteri; Centrarchiformes; Sinipercidae.
AGCAGCUAAAUGCUGUUCACCAGCUAGAUAGUCACUAACUUUGUCUGUCUGUUGUUUAGUACUGGACAGGUAGUGUUGUUAGAGCUUUUUUCCCUUUUGUCAAUGGAAGCAGCUGACAGCUAAAAACAAUGCUAUGUGAGACUGAAUCAAAAAAGUAAAGUUGUGGGCUGGAAAAUCACAAAAAUAAGUUGAAAGAUUCUUAAUGCUCCUAACAGUAGAGAUGAAGGGGAAAUACAGAAACAGCCUCUAUGGGUCUGUCACUAUAAACAACCCCUUUAAAUACAAAUAGUCAUGCGAUCCAUUGUUAAUAUAAAAGUGUUGAUUAUAUCAUAUUUAAAUGUUGUUAUUUUUUCCACCCAGUAGUCUUUGUCAGCCAUAGACAUGCCGUCACGUCAGCCGUGUCAUGUUACAGCUGUACCAUUCCUAGUGUUUCUCUCUGUCCCCUGUUGUUUCUCCUCCUUUGUGUAUAUGUGUGUGUGUAUGCUGUGGGGCGUGGCCUCCAAGGAACUGCCAAUCAGCAGCUGACACACCUGCGACACAUCUACUGCUGCUCACCUGUUCUCCAUCCACAGUCACACCUGACAGUAUAUCUACCCGGCUCUUCUCACCAGUCUUCGCCAGAUCGUCUGUUUACCUCAGUGGUUCGUGUCACCUGCCAAAGCCGGUGGGCUUUCCACAGCUCUCUCCCGCCUUACCUCGGACCACUGUUCCUGCCUCAGCCUGCCUGCUCUCCUCAGCCUCGUGUCGGUCUGCUGUCUGCCUCCAGUCUACCGGCUUCCAGCAUUACCUCCACACUCCUGGUUCCUCAUUGUGUUUUCCUCUAAAUAAACAGAACCAACUACUUCA